RNAcentral lists this unclassified non-coding RNA (253 nucleotides) under Glomeraceae sp. RNAcentral describes it as "partial contains 5.8S ribosomal RNA and internal transcribed spacer 2". The stretch from base 1 to 65 matches the Rfam family "5.8S ribosomal RNA", at positions 84 to 154 of the family's 154-position model. The record is from RNAcentral. Lineage: Eukaryota; Fungi; Glomeromycota; Glomeromycetes; Glomerales; Glomeraceae.
GUGAAUCAUCGAAUUUUUGAACGCAAAUUGCACUCUCCUCGGAGAGUAGGCCUGUUUCAGGGUCAGCCUAUAAAAAAUCGACAUCGUUGUUGUUUCGCGGUGGCGUUCGUCGGGAUUUGGGUCAUAUUAAAUCUUUUGGUUUUAAGCGACUUAAAAUUUUCUUUUUGGUUCCAUGUACGUUUAUAAGAUUUAUUUUGUUACAUGUUUGAGGUAUAGAUUUUUAUUAGACGUGACAAUCAUAUCCACUCUCGCC